UUGUAUGAUAAUAAUGUUCUAAAAUAUGAUUAUGCCGUCUGAUCUCGGAAGCUAAGCAGGGUCGGGCCUGGUUAGUACUUGGAUGGGAGACCACCUAGGAAGACCAGGUGCCGUAGGUG
RNAcentral lists this ribosomal RNA (119 nucleotides) under Pteropus alecto (black flying fox). The record is from RNAcentral. Lineage: Eukaryota; Metazoa; Chordata; Mammalia; Chiroptera; Pteropodidae.